This 1131-nucleotide long non-coding RNA is filed under the name Salmo salar (Atlantic salmon). RNAcentral's name for it is "lncRNA (ENSSSAG00000083280.1, ENSSSAG00000100531.1)". Lineage: Eukaryota; Metazoa; Chordata; Actinopteri; Salmoniformes; Salmonidae. The record is from RNAcentral.
GUAACGGGACAGUUGGAAACAAUAUCGGGACACGUUGCAAUCAUGACGCAAUAAGCGCCUACACAUGCAGACCGUACUUACUAGAAAGUUAAAGAAAACUAAACCAAUAACCACACAAUCUGAAAUUAGAUACAUUGUAAACUCAGGUGCAACGAGGGAAAACGUAGCUAGCUAGAUGAUUCGUUUUUGCAGAGACAUAUUUUUUUAAGCCUCUCAUGACCUAACAUGGCAAACGACAGGUCAAGGCAGGCAAGGGUCGAUAAUCCAGAGUAGGAGCAAAGGUACAGGACGGCAGGCAGGCUCAGGGUCAGGCAGAGUUCAGUAACCCAGAGGUGGAGCAAAGGAACAGGACAGCAGGCAGGCUCAGGGUCAGGCAGAGUGGUCAGGCAGGCGGGUACAGGGUCAGGACAGGCAAGGGUCAAAAACCAGAAGGAAGAGGAAAAAGAGAGGCUGGGAAAAGACAGGAGCUGAAAGGACAAACCCUGGCUCUUGAGAGGCGAAGUUCGAGUCACGCGUCCUUCGAAACAAGACCUGCCAAACCACGCUUCAUAACAGCGGCCUGCUUAACCCGGAAGCCAGGCGCACCAAUGGAGGAAACACUGUGCAACUGACUACCGAAGGCACUUGGCCCGCCACAAGGAGUCGCUAGAGCGCAAUGAGCCAAGUAAAGCCUCCCCGGCCAAACCUCACCCUAACCCGGAGACACUGAGCCAAUUGUGCACCGCCCUAUGGGACUCCCGGUCAGCCUGGAGAUCAAACCCGGGUCUGUAGUGACGCCUCAAGCACUGCGAUGCAGUGCCUUAGACCGCUGCGCCACACGGGAGGCCUAUAAGUUAUAGAAUUAGACUGUUCACUGGGUGUGUGCGUGUCUCCCUUUGCCUCUAUUACGAUAUCUUUCUGCCUGAUAAACCAGUGAUAGCUCUGCAUUGCACCUUGUUUUUCUCACUUAUUGUGGACUCUGUAAUCACACUUUAUCACACAUAUCUAUCAACAAUAUAUCAUUAUCAACCUAUCAAAUAUAUCAUUACAAGCGCCAACCGGCAAGAUAUUCAUUAAACAACCUUUUUCAUCAUCCAUUACUCAAUUAUUACUCAAUUAUUGCAUGGAACAACACAUGGACAUUAUGAAUAG